This is a non-coding RNA of Heterocephalus glaber (naked mole-rat), 1034 nucleotides long. NCBI's taxonomy places the organism in Eukaryota, Metazoa, Chordata, Mammalia, Rodentia, Bathyergidae. The record is from RefSeq and is a predicted model, not a curated record.
UUCAUGCUUUGAUUGGCCAUUUGCACUUCAUUUCAGUUGCCCUUUUUUCAGCUGGGUCUUUUAUUUUGGGUGUCUACAGUUCCUUACAUAUUUUCUCCAUAUUGGUCCUCCGUCCGAGGGGCCCCUGGCGGCAUUUCCCCUUCUGCAGCUGCCUUGUCGCUCACUCUCUGAGGAGGAUGCAGGAGCUUUGGCCACUCCAGGCAGGAGCCGUGCUCAGGGGACCAAUUGGACUCACCCUUCUCCUUUCUCCGGCAGGGCUGGUUGGUAGGAGGGUCACGGAGCUAGGGUGAGCUCAGGAGUCUCUGAGGUACCGCAGAUCUCGGCGAGGACGAUCUCAGGACAUGCGGUGCAUUUCAGCAUUUGGGAAAAUCAGAGGUCCCAGAUCUAUUGAAUCUUUGGGAAAAAUAUCACAGAAGGGCAGGCAAAUGAGACAGAAGCAGAAAUUACAAAGGAGGAAACGUAAACCACUGUCUCAUGGGUGAAGGGUUCACCUGGCUGCCAGACGGUUAUGAUUCAACCGGGUUACAUCAGAGGGCGUCUCGCAUGGGACGCUGAGCUCAGCAGCACCGCACCUGGGGUGGACAUUCUCCCAAAUCCAGGAAUCAGAGCGGCAAGAGCUCCUGCUUGUAAACGGAAGCCGGAGUAAGAGAAGUUCCGGGAGAAGCCAGGCAGAGGAGAGACCUUCGGAUGCUGCUGAUCUGGGUUCUGUGGUUGAUCUGCAUUUCACGGUGAGGAGGACCACUUCUGCUCACGCUCCUUAGAGGACGCCCUUGACGGCAGCCAGGUGCUGGCCCCGGUUUGCAGGAGCGGUGAGGAUGGGUGCCUGACCUGCAGCAGUUUACAGACAGCUUUGUCAUCUGAGGACGCGCCCUCUUUUUUGCUGGAUAAUUAUUUCUUUCGUCUUCCUGGGUUCCUGUAUUUUGAUAGGUCUCAACAUUGGCUCACGAGUGCUGGUAAUAUUUAUUCUGUAAUCUUAAAAGAGUGUCUUGCCACUAGGAGUAAAUCCCCCAAUUAACAUUUUCUUCUCUAGCAUA